Molecule: ribosomal RNA, 119 nt
Filed under: Pteropus alecto (black flying fox)
Lineage: Eukaryota; Metazoa; Chordata; Mammalia; Chiroptera; Pteropodidae
Also listed under: 1 other name
Source: RNAcentral
GUCUAUAGCCAUGCUACCCUGAACAAGCCCAAUCCCAUCUGAUCUUGGAAGCUAAGCAGGGUCGGGCCUGGUUAGUACUUGGAUGGGAGACCGCCUAGGAAGACCGGGUGCUAUAGGCA